UCCUUCAUCUUCCUGGUUUCCCCUUCCCGAUCAGCUCCGAUUGAGGCCUCCCUUAACCGCAUCGCACGUCUACCCCUCUGCCCUGCCGGCUAUUUCACCGCCAUUGCCACCACCGAUCAAGACGGUGGUGCCUGAUCCCCUGACCUAGAUUCCUGUAGCUUUCAUCUGGUUACCUACGUGGGCUUUCAGUUUUGGAUUGUCGAGAAUGGCACUGUUCUUGGCUUUGGGGGAUUUGCACAUACCACACAGGGCCCUUGAUCUGCCAGCAAAGUUCAAAUCCAUGCUUGUCCCUGGCAAAAUCCAGCACAUCAUUUGCACAGGAAAUUUGUGCAUCAAAGUAUGUCUGUCUUUCUUUUUUUCUAAAACAAAGCAUGUCUUUGUUAUUGACCUUAUCCAUAUUAGACUUAGCUUAUGUGUGCCUGUGUGUUUUCAACUUUUUGCCCUUUUUAGUGGAGGUCCUUCAUGACAUCUGCUUGUGACCACAACAAUAUCCUCCUCGUAAUUGCCAUAGACAAUCUCAAUCACUAGAUAAAGUAUAUCUUUAAAAUAUCUUUAUGCAUCCCAAUUGUAUAUGAAGCUAUAGGACUUUCUUUGAUGGACAAUCUUGUAGUUCUCAAUUACAUAGUUGUCCCACUUGUUGAUCUAAUUAAUCCCUUUAUUGCCCCCUA
Long non-coding RNA from Prosopis cineraria, 668 nucleotides. RefSeq lists it as uncharacterized. The record is from RefSeq and is a predicted model, not a curated record. The transcript is spliced from 2 exons. NCBI's taxonomy places the organism in Eukaryota, Viridiplantae, Streptophyta, Magnoliopsida, Fabales, Fabaceae.